This 378-nucleotide unclassified non-coding RNA is filed under the name plant metagenome. RNAcentral's name for it is "partial contains 5.8S ribosomal RNA, internal transcribed spacer 2, and large subunit ribosomal RNA". The stretch from base 1 to 105 matches the Rfam family "5.8S ribosomal RNA", at positions 50 to 154 of the family's 154-position model. The record is from RNAcentral.
GAAAUACGAUAAGUAAUGUGAAUUGCAGAAUUCAGUGAAUCAUCGAAUCUUUGAACGCACCUUGCGCUCCUUGGUAUUCCUUGGAGCAUGCCUGUUUGAGUAUCUUGAAAUCUUCAAAGUAAAUCUUUUGUUAACUCAAUUGGUUUCUACUUUGGUAUUGGAGGUCUUUGCAGCUUCACACCUGCUCCUCUUUGUUCAUUAGCUGGAUCUCAGUGUUAUGCUUGGUUCCACUCGGCGUGAUAAGUUAUCUAUCGCUGAGGACACUGUAAAAGGUGGCCAAGGUAAAUGCAGAUGAACCGCUUCUAAUAGUCCAUUGACUUGGACAAUACUUUUAUGAUCUGAUCUCAAAUCAGGUAGGACUACCCGCUGAACUUAAGC